AUGAGGAAGGCCAUGAAGGAAGUGGAGGGGGACAGGGACCUACUUAGGAAAGAGAAGAAGAAGCUGGAGUAUCUGAUUGCUGAUCUGCUCAAUGCUGGGCAUGGCAGCAAAGAUAAGCUGGAGAGGAUCAAGGCAAUUAUGAAUGAGUGA
RNAcentral lists this ribosomal RNA (150 nucleotides) under Triticum aestivum (bread wheat). RNAcentral describes it as "partial small subunit ribosomal RNA". The record is from RNAcentral. Lineage: Eukaryota; Viridiplantae; Streptophyta; Magnoliopsida; Poales; Poaceae.